RNAcentral lists this long non-coding RNA (268 nucleotides) under Lathyrus oleraceus (garden pea). Its description in RNAcentral is "Pisum sativum (pea) long non-coding RNA (PSAT_LNC025764)". Lineage: Eukaryota; Viridiplantae; Streptophyta; Magnoliopsida; Fabales; Fabaceae. The record is from RNAcentral.
GGUAAGAGGGUAGAAAACCACAGAAAUAAGACUUAUAACUACCGGUUACUGGGUAGAAGGCCACAAAAAUAGGACUUAUAACUACCGGUUACUGGGUAGAAGGCCACAAAAAUAGGACUUAUAACUACCGGUUACUGGGUAGAAGGCCACAGACUCCGCCGGGGAAAAGAUGGACAAUUACUGGUUACUGAGCAAUCGUUCAUCUAAACUACGGGGAAAUGCAGGGGAAAUAACAAGAAGAGUCAAUCUAGGAACAAACCAAAGAGAC